GGUAUCAGCCACAACUUGAGAAUCAAUCAACAAGGUAUCGCCAUCUCAUCCAUUGUCAGUGGCAAUAUUCACUCACCUUCAGGUCUUCUUCACAUAGGUGUCAUGGAUAGUGGAUAACCAUCAUUUACCUUUUUAUUUAGAAGAACAAAAUAGCAGCUUCAGGAGCUAGGAUUGCAAAAACUUAUAUUAAUCAUAUCUCUCUCGACAACAUUAUCCAAAUAUGCCCCUCUACACAGAUAUAUAAUCAAAAGGGAGAAGGAAUGAGGUCUACACAUGCCUAUUUAUUUCAUGAUGGUAAACAAUGUCUGCAGCAGGGCCAAAAUGAAGAGGAAGCCUGCAACAACCUGCGAGAUGAUCGCCCAUGGAGUGGUGAAUUCAUUGCGAUAAAUUGCCCGCAACCUAGGCCAGCUGCGUUUGCAAUACUCAUUCACUUGCUCGCUAAGCUCAAGAUAGUAGUAAUCCUUGACAUAAGCACCAGGGUAGAUUGCCUUAUUGAAGAAAUUGGUGACAUCCUCAGGAUUCAUCCAGUUAUCAAAGAUUCCAGCCUCACGGAGUAAAUUGAAGUCCAUGGCAGUGUUGAUGAGGCAUCCCAUAAGUGUCACAUAAGAAGUGAUUCCAUGGGGGCAGUUGGUCAAACACUGCUCCAAGCAGACUAAAUUCCGAAAUAUAUCUUCGGUCCCUUGUCGAAAUUCAAGACAUGGGAUUUCCAAAUAGCCAUUUUGAAAUGUUACCUGCAAAAUGCUCUUAGCCUCUAAUUUUCUUUUGAUUUUGACUCCAGCUUUCCGAAGAACUGUUGCAGGAGGAAUGGGUUUCCAUCCCCCAUUUGUUUCUAUGUCAUCUACUUGCACAACUGUAUUUUGCCCUUUUGCUUCUUCAAUUGGAAAAACCAGCCAUAACCUUAAGAGAUCAAGAAUAUGCUUGGGCUGUUGGCUGGGUGGAUUUCCCCCAGUUGGCACAAAUGCACUUGGGAAAAUUCGUUUAAGAAGUGCACUAACAUGCCAAAUAAGUGGCUUUCCAUUGUUCCCACAUGUCCUAACAAAAAUAUCU
This 1047-nucleotide unclassified non-coding RNA is filed under the name Hevea brasiliensis (rubber tree). Lineage: Eukaryota; Viridiplantae; Streptophyta; Magnoliopsida; Malpighiales; Euphorbiaceae. The record is from RNAcentral.